UAGGGAAUCUUGCGCAAUGGGCGAAAGCCUGACGCAGCAACGCCGCGUGCGGGAAGACGGCCUUCGGGUUGUAAACCGCUUUCAGUAGGGACGAAAUUGACGGUACCUACAGAAGAAGCCCCGGCCAACUACGUGCCAGCAGCCGCGGUAAGACGUAGGGGGCAAGCGUUGUCCGGAAUCAUUGGGCGUAAAGAGCUCGUAGGCGGUUCGGCAAGUCGAGUGUGAAAACUCCAGGCUCAACCUGGAGACGCCACUCGAUACUGCUGUGACUAGAGUACGGUAGAGGAGUGUGGAAUUCCUGGUGUAGCGGUGAAAUGCGCAGAUAUCAGGAGGAACACCAACGGCGAAGGCAGCACUCUGGGCCGUAACUGACGCUGAGGAGCGAAAGCGUGGGGAGCAAACAGGAUUAGAUACCCCCGUAGUCC
RNAcentral lists this ribosomal RNA (425 nucleotides) under uncultured prokaryote. RNAcentral's name for it is "bacterial SSU rRNA". It matches the Rfam family "Bacterial small subunit ribosomal RNA", at positions 355 to 796 of the family's 1533-position model. The record is from RNAcentral.